RNAcentral lists this ribosomal RNA (334 nucleotides) under bacterium AV-Se-13. RNAcentral's name for it is "bacterial SSU rRNA". It matches the Rfam family "Bacterial small subunit ribosomal RNA", at positions 434 to 759 of the family's 1533-position model. The record is from RNAcentral.
UUUGUUCAGGAGGAAAGGUUUUUCGUUAAUACGCUGAACUCAUGACGGUACUGUAAGAAUAAGCACCGGCUAACUCCGUGCCAGCAGCCGCGGUAAUACGGAGGGUGCGAGCGUUAAUCGGAAUUACUGGGCGUAAAGCGUACGCAGGCGGUUAUGUAAGCCAGAUGUGAAAUCCCCGGGCUCAACCUGGGAACUGCAUUUGGAACUGCCAAACUAGAGUAGUGAUAGAGGGGGAUAGAAUUUCAGGUGUAGCGGUGAAACGACGUAGGUAUGUGAAGGAACACCGAUGGCGAAGGCAACCACCUGGGUCAACACUGACGCUCAUGUACGAAAG